RNAcentral lists this ribosomal RNA (541 nucleotides) under uncultured bacterium. RNAcentral's name for it is "bacterial SSU rRNA". It matches the Rfam family "Bacterial small subunit ribosomal RNA", at positions 44 to 580 of the family's 1533-position model. The record is from RNAcentral.
AUGCUUUACACAUGCAAGUCGAACGGCAGCACGGGGGCAACCCUGGUGGCGAGUGGCGAACGGGUGAGUAAUACAUCGGAACGUGUCCAGUCGUGGGGGAUAACGUAGCGAAAGUUACGCUAAUACCGCAUACGAUCUACGGAUGAAAGCGGGGGAUCGCAAGACCUCGCGCGAUUGGAGCGGCCGAUGUCAGAUUAGGUUGUUGGUGAGGUAAAGGCUCACCAAGCCGACGACCUGUAGCUGGUCUGAGAGGACGACCAGCCACACUGGGACUGAGACACGGCCCAGACUCCUACGGGAGGCAGCAGUGGGGAAUUUUGGACAAUGGACGAAAGUCUGAUCCAGCCAUUCCGCGUGCAGGACGAAGGCCUUCGGGUUGUAAACUGCUUUUGUACGGAACGAAAAAGUCUUGGCUAAUACCCAGGGUCCAUGACGGUACCGUAAGAAUAAGCACCGGCUAACUACGUGCCAGCAGCCGCGGUAAUACGUAGGGUGCAAGCGUUAAUCGGAAUUACUGGGCGUAAAGCGUGCGCAGGCGGUU